Molecule: long non-coding RNA, 344 nt
Organism: Oncorhynchus keta (chum salmon)
Lineage: Eukaryota; Metazoa; Chordata; Actinopteri; Salmoniformes; Salmonidae
Exons: 3
Source: RefSeq, a predicted model, not a curated record
UUUCUGGGGUGGAUUAUCCACUUAAACUGUAUAGUGGAUUAUCAGCAGGUUGCCUCCCACUUUUCUCAACGUUAUUUGGAAAGUCAGAGUGAAAGUAAAAUAGUCCAACUGCGAACCAAGACGGGGUCAGUUCAUCUGGAUACUUCAAAACUCCUAAUAACGUCACAAAUCCAGUGUGUGGGUCCUCCAGUGAGUUGGAGAGAAUUGAGGAACAAUGGCACCGUUUGACACUUUGAUAUGGACUAUAACUAUUAUAGUGGUGCUUAAAAGCAUUGGAUCCUGUAUUGCAUGUGGUAGAGCUGAGUACAGAAUAGGGGAUGAAUGUUGUCCCAUGUGUCCACCAG